This 442-nucleotide ribosomal RNA is filed under the name uncultured bacterium. Its description in RNAcentral is "partial 16S ribosomal RNA". It matches the Rfam family "Bacterial small subunit ribosomal RNA", at positions 338 to 795 of the family's 1533-position model. The record is from RNAcentral.
CCUACGGGAGGCAGCAGUAGGGAAUCUUUCACAAUGGGCGAAAGCCUGAUGGAGCAACGCCGCGUGCAGGAUGAAGGCCUUCGGGUUGUAAACUGCUUUUAUAAGCGAGAAAUAUGAUGGUAACUUAUGAAUAAGCAUCGGCUAACUACGUGCCAGCAGCCGCGGUCAUACGUAGGAUCCGAGCAUUAUCCGGAUUGACUGGGUGUAAAGAGUUGCGUAGGUGGCAUAAUAAGUAGCUAGUGAAAGCUGGUGGCUCAACCAUUCAGACUAUUAGCUAAACUGUUAAGCUCGAGACCGUUAGAGGUAACUGGAAUUUCUAGUGUAGGAGUGAAAUGCGUAGAUAUUAGAAGGAACACCAAUAGCGUAGGCAGGUUGCUGGGCCGGUUCUGACACUAAGGCACGAAAGCGUAGGGAGCAAACGGGAUUAGAUACCCCUGUAGUC